This 500-nucleotide long non-coding RNA is filed under the name Bos taurus (domestic cattle). Its description in RNAcentral is "long non-coding RNA NONBTAT020203". Lineage: Eukaryota; Metazoa; Chordata; Mammalia; Artiodactyla; Bovidae. The record is from RNAcentral.
CUAAGUCCAGGUUUGAAGAUCAGAAUUUUCAGAUUGCCCAGGGAAGAAACUUCUCUCUCCCUACAGGGUAGUUUGAAAGCUGCUUUCUGGAGCCAUUCUAAGGGGUCGCAUUGCCAGCAGCCUAGGACUCAAGGCUGAUAUGACAAAAAAUUAAAAUAACAUUCAAAAGUUAGCAAAAUUUGCUACUCUAUGAAAACUAGUGGCUAAGGAUGUUUGGAUUUGUCUUUUUUUUCUUCUUCUGCUUAUUCUUCAUAAAGGGGACUCUGGACAAUACCUAAAUGAUGCAUAAACUAAAAACAGGACCCCUUGUUGUAGCAUUUUAUUUCAAGUAAUAAUUCCAGUCUUCUCUUUUGGUAGAGAGAAAAUUGAAAAAAGAAAAAUCAGGGAGUAACAGUUAGUAAAAUUAGGCUAGUCUGCUUAUGGCCAGGGUAGAACUCCAUACACAGAAGCACUUUUUAAGCAACUUAGGACUGAAGAACAUCUCAAAAGCAUCUGAAGAA